AUUGAACGCUGGCGGCAGGCCUAACACAUGCAAGUCGAACGGUAACAGGAAGAAGUUUGUUUUUUUGCUGACGCGUGGCGGACGGGUGUGUAAUGUCUGGGAACUUGCCUGAUGGCGGGGGAUAACUACUGGAACCGGUAGCUAAUCCCGCAUAACGUCGCAAGACCAAAAUGGGGGACCUUCGGGCCUUCUGCCAUCGGAUGUGCCCGGGUGGGAUUAGCUAGUAGGUGGGGUAACGGCUCACCUAGGCAACGAUCCACAGCUGGUCUCCGAGGAUGACCGGCCACACUGGAACUGAGACACGGUCCAGACUCCUACGGGAGGCAGCAGUGGGGAAUAUUGCGCAAUGGGCGAAAGCCUGAUGCAGCCAUGCCGCGUGUAUGAAGAAGGCCUUCGGGUUGUAAAGUACUUUCAGCGGGGAAGAAGGGAGGAGAGUGUAUACCUUUACUCAUUGACGUUACCCGCAGAAGAAGCACCGGCUAACUCCGUG
This 490-nucleotide ribosomal RNA is filed under the name uncultured bacterium. RNAcentral describes it as "partial 16S ribosomal RNA". It matches the Rfam family "Bacterial small subunit ribosomal RNA", at positions 30 to 507 of the family's 1533-position model. The record is from RNAcentral.